RNAcentral lists this long non-coding RNA (683 nucleotides) under Macaca mulatta (Rhesus monkey). RNAcentral describes it as "lncRNA (ENSMMUG00000064223.1)". The record is from RNAcentral. Lineage: Eukaryota; Metazoa; Chordata; Mammalia; Primates; Cercopithecidae.
GGAAAGUUUUACUUUUACUUCUGGACCCACUGGGUAGCCUCAGGGCACGUGACAGUGUUCUCUAUUCCUAGUUAUGUUUGCAAGGGUAAAACAUAGAAGUUCUGUGGCUUUCAAACACACAAGCAACAACCACUACACAAAAACCUAUGGCGCUUCUUGGGUUGGGAUUUUGAGAUUGAACCCUAGGCGUUUCCUAAGCAAAACGAGUUACACUUGGUUCUGUGGUUCUCUGAUAGUCUUUGCCUAGACCUCAGGGGUGAAGACUUGGCAGGUGCCUCAUAGUCAGAAGAAUGAUAACAACAACAACAACAACAAAAACAGUUCACAGUGUGCUCUCAAACUCUGAGCACUGGAAUCAGACUGCCUGUGUUAGGUCCUAGUUUUGACACGUGGACUCUGCAACUUAACUUUCCUGAAUCGCAGUUUUCUCAUCAAUAAGAUAAGGUGAUAAUAAUGAUACCUUUCCUUAUAGUUGUGCUAAUUAUAAAUAUAUCACCAUGAGUGGCACACAUUAAGUGAAAAAAUGCUCACUGACUUUUAUUAAGGUUACUAUUAUUUAUGACAUGCUUUUCCUUAUUCUUUUCCUGCUUAAACUUAACUACAAAAAUUAAGGUCUCAAAACACUUGCAGAUGCCAGGUGGCCCAAGAUCCAUCUAUAAUCUUCUGGCCAACCAUUGUUUCCC